CCAAUAGCGUAUAUUAAAGUUGUUGCAGUUAAAAAGCUCGUAGUUGAAUUUCGGGAUUGACACAUCGGUCGUGCCUUAAGGGGUAUGAACUGGUGUAGUCAAUUUCUCACCUUCUGGAGAACCGCGAUGCCCUUAAUUGGGUGUCACGGGGAACCAGGACUUUUACUUUGAAAAAAUUAGAGUGUUUAAAGCAGGCAUUUUGCUUGAAUACAUUAGCAUGGAAUAAUAAAAUAGGACGGCAUGAUUCUAUUUUGUUGGUUUCUAGGAUCACCGUAAUGAUUAAUAGGGAUAGUUGGGGGCAUUAGUAUUCAAUUGUCAGAGGUGAGAUUCUUGGAUUUAUUGAAGACUAACUACUGCGAAAGCAUUUGCCAAGGAUGUUUUCAUUAAUCAAGAACGAAAGUUAGGGGAUCGAAGACGAUCAGAUACCGUCGUAGUCUUAACCAUAAACUAUGCCGACUAGGAAUCAGACGAUGUUAAUUUUUUAAUGACUCGUUUGGCACCUUACG
Molecule: ribosomal RNA, 506 nt
Filed under: uncultured Glomeromycotina
Lineage: Eukaryota; Fungi; Glomeromycota
Description: partial small subunit ribosomal RNA
Rfam family: Eukaryotic small subunit ribosomal RNA
Source: RNAcentral